Molecule: ribosomal RNA, 437 nt
Filed under: uncultured bacterium
Lineage: Bacteria
Description: partial 16S ribosomal RNA
Rfam family: Bacterial small subunit ribosomal RNA
Source: RNAcentral
AUCGAACGCUGGCGGCAGGCUUAACACAUGCAAGUCGAGCGGGCAUCCGUAUGGUGUCGGCGGCUGACUGGUGAGUAACGCGUGGGAACGUGCUCUCCGGGUCGGAAUAUGUCGGGGGAGCAUAAGCUAAUACCGGGUACGUUCGAGAGCAGUAAAGUUGAGCUACCGAAGGAUCGGCCCGCGUCUGAUUAGGCAGUUGGUGAGGCUAUGGCUCACCAAGGCGACGAUCAGUAGAUGGUCUGAGAGGCUGAUCCGACACACUGGGACUGGGACGCGGCCCAGACUCCUACGGGAAGCAGCAGUGGGGAAUACUGGAAAAUGGGGGCAAUGCUGAUGGCGCCAUGCCGCGUGAGUGAUGACGGCCUUAGGGUUGUAAAGAUCUUUUCUCCGGGACGAUAAUGACGGUACCGGAGGAAUAAGCACCGGCUAACUUCGUG